RNAcentral lists this ribosomal RNA (292 nucleotides) under uncultured bacterium. Its description in RNAcentral is "partial 16S ribosomal RNA". It matches the Rfam family "Bacterial small subunit ribosomal RNA", at positions 505 to 796 of the family's 1533-position model. The record is from RNAcentral.
GUGUCAGCCGCCGCGGUAAUACGUAGGGUGCAAGCGUUAUCCGGAAUCAUUGGGUUUAAAGGGUCCGUAGGCGGUUUUGUAAGUCAGUGGUGAAAGCCCAUCGCUCAACGGUGGAACGGCCAUUGAUACUGCAAGACUUGAAUUAUUAGGAAGUAACUAGAAUAUGUAGUGUAGCGGUGAAAUGCUUAGAGAUUACAUGGAAUACCAAUUGCGAAGGCAGGUUACUACUAAUGGAUUGACGCUGAUGGACGAAAGCGUGGGUAGCGAACAGGAUUAGAUACACUGGUAGUCC